Mirounga angustirostris (Northern elephant seal) is the source of this 1461-nucleotide long non-coding RNA. RefSeq lists it as uncharacterized. The record is from RefSeq and is a predicted model, not a curated record. NCBI's taxonomy places the organism in Eukaryota, Metazoa, Chordata, Mammalia, Carnivora, Phocidae. The transcript is spliced from 4 exons.
GCGCGGGCACGCAGGCUUUCGUUCCACGCCAUUUUGGGGUACCUACUGUGUGCCGAGCCCUCAGUGAUUUUAUGCUUAGGAAUGUCCAGCAGACCGCGUUCAACAAAUCUUUGAAAUGAGGACGAGUCUUGCCUAGCUGGGGUCCUGCCGACUUUCAGUCCAGUGCUUAUCCCGUUCCACUAGGAAUUGCUGGAGCUGUAUAGCCCUGCCUGUCUUCACUGCAGUGUCCCAGCUCCUGUAUGGCAGCACGUGCCACACACAGUUUCAGUGACCCUGUCGACCACCAUAGGGAAGUAGAUGCUCCUCCUUCUGACGAAUCAUCAGACGGUCAGUAGCAGCUGCGUGUCACAUGAUGUCACAACACCUACGUCAUCCACCUCACUUGUCUCACCACGUGGGCAUCUUAUCAUCUUGUAUCGUCUGAGAAGGAUUUUAUGUAUGUAUGUAUGUGCAGAAGAAUGAAACUGGACCAUUUCCUUACACCACACACAAAGUAGACUCCAAAUGGUUGAAAGACCUCAAUGUGAGACAGGAGUCCAUCAAAAUCCUAAAGGACAACACAGGCAGCAACCUCUUUGACCUCAGCCGAAGCAACUUCUUCCUAGAAACAUCGCCAAAGGCAAGGGAAGCAAGGGCAAGAAUGAACUAUUGGGACUUCAUCAAGAUAAAAAGCUUUUGCAAAGCAAAGGAAACAGUCAACAAAACCAAGAGACAACUGACAGAAUGGGAGAAGAUAUUUGCAAAUGACAUAUCAGAUAAAGGGCUAGUAUCCAAAAUCUAUAAAGAACUCAUCAAACUCAACACCCAAAGAACAAAGAAUCCAAUCAAGAAAUGGGCAGAAGACAUGAACAGACAUUUUUUCCAAAGAAGACAUCCAAAUGGCCAACAGACACAUGAAAAAGUGCUCAAUAUCGCUCGGCAUCAGGGAAAUCCAAAUCAAAACCUCAAUGAGAUACCACCUCACACCAGUCAGAAUGGCUAAAAUUAAUAAGUCAGGAAACGACAGAUGUUGACGGGGAUGCGGAGAAAGGGGAACCCUCCUACACUGUUGGUGGGAAUGCAAGCUGGUGCAGCCACUCUGGAAAACUGUAUGGAGGUUCCUCAAAAAGUUGAAAAUAGAGCUACCAUAUGAUCCAGCAAUUGCACUACUGGGUAUUUACCCCAAAGAUACAAAAGUAGGGAUCCGAAAGGGUACGUGCACCCCAAUGUUUAUAGCAGCAAUGUCCACAAUAGCCAAACUGUGGAAAGAGCCAAGAUGUCCAUCGACAGAUGAAUGGAUAAAGAAGAGGUGGUAUAUAUACACAAUGGAAUAUUAUGCAGCCAUCAAAAGGAAUGAGGUCUUGCCAUUUGCAACGACGUGGAUGGAACUGGAGGGUAUUAUGUUGAGCGAAAUAAGUCAAAAAGAGAAAGACAUGUAUCAUAUGACCUCACUGAUAUGAGGAAUUCUUAAUCGCAGGAAAC